Long non-coding RNA from Homo sapiens (human), 1648 nucleotides. Lineage: Eukaryota; Metazoa; Chordata; Mammalia; Primates; Hominidae. The record is from Ensembl.
GCGACCAAGGCGCCUGCGCGACCCCAGGUCCGGCCCAUCCCUCCAUUCCCUGUAACCGCCAGCCUCCGCCCCUCUUGACAACCACCCGCUACGCUUACCCUGUUACAAGGAACCCAGGCUGCAACCAGGAAAAACUGCCAUCAGAAAGUUUAUCUAAGCCGGAGCAAACUUGGCUGGACCGGCCCCUGACCCGCCUUGGCGCUGCCGCCCCUGUCUUCUGCGGUCCCCGGCCAGGCGAGGACCAGAGUUUUGUUCUCGGAGAUUCUUGCCUUUCUUGUUUUAGCACAAACGCGCACGCACCCCUUUCCCAUAACGAGCCCCUCCGCCCAACUACAGAUCCCGGGAUCUGUUGCAGGGGCUGGAAAGGCCCCACUCGAGAGGCCUGAGCUGGCUGCGGCUCUUGGUUCCGGGGCAGGUUCUCCAGGGUUGGAUACGCUCUGGACGCCUGGGCGGGUUGUUUUGCUUCGGCCUCGCUGGCCAGGGGCCCGCCCACCCCGCCUGGAACGCGGUUUGGAUCGGCGCUGGGAGCCCUCCGUAACCCCAGCUGAAGGCCGCGCAGGCAGGCGGGGACGCCGGAGCUGCGGGGCCGGUUCCCAGCCAGCAUCCAGCCUUUUCGGAAUCAGGCGGGUCCCUGGUGAUUCGCUGGGUUUUCCCACUUCCCACGGGGACCUCACCUUUGGGAAUUAAUUGCUGACAGUGUUAGAGUUACAAAGUAGCCAGUGUCACGGAGGGAACCUCAAAGAGACAAAGGGACACCUCGAAGGUGUCAGAGAGACGGUUGUUUUGGACAGAAACAGAACAGCGAAGCGGAAAGAAAACAGACCUUAUUUCUGUUCUGUUCCACUUCAGAUAGUAGCAGAGGAGACUUGGAUUUCAUUGGUGUUGGUUUUCGUGAUUCCUGCCUUCUAAAAUCCCAAGACUUAUUUAUCAUUUAUCAUCAGCUCAGAUCCCAGGAAAACAGUCCACUGCACUUCGGUUUCUGCUCCAAGUCACCCAUUAAAUAAAUAAUUGAACACCUGCUGGUGCCAGGCGCAGUUCUAAUGCUUGGGAUAUGUCGGUGAACAAAGCAAAGGUCUCCCUCACCUGGGGGAGCUGAAGGCCUGCGGGGAAGAAGUGGGAGACAGAGGGUAAACCAUGGCCAUCCCUAAGUAAAUUAUUUGGGGUGUUGGAAGAGGUCGGUGAUAGGGAAAACAAGAAAAAGAAUAUGGGGGCCCAGAGUGCUUGUGUCUGGAGCAGGUCACAGAAUUAAAUAGAUGGUGUGUGUCAGGCCUCUGAGCCCAAGCCAAGCCAUCGCAUCCCCUGUGACUUGCACGUAUACAUCCAGAUGGUCUGAAGUAACUGAAGAUCCACAAAAGAAGUAAACAUAGCCUUAACUGAUGACAUUCCACCAUUGUGAUUUGUUCCCGCCCCACCCUAACUAAUCAAUGUACUUUGUAAUCUCCCCCACCCUUAAGAAGGUUCUUUGUAAUUCUCCCCACCCUUGAGAAUGUACUUUGUGAGAUCCACCCCUGCCCACAAAACAUUGCUCUUAACUUCACCGCCUAUCUCAAAACCUAUAAGAACUAAUAAUAAUCCACCACUCUUUGCUGACUCUCUGUUUGGACUCAGCCCACCUGCACCCAGGUGAAAUAAACAGCCAUGUUGCUCA